Molecule: ribosomal RNA, 339 nt
Filed under: Triticum aestivum (bread wheat)
Lineage: Eukaryota; Viridiplantae; Streptophyta; Magnoliopsida; Poales; Poaceae
Description: partial small subunit ribosomal RNA
Source: RNAcentral
AUGUCCAUUAUUACUCCCACUACUUUACAUACUGUCAAUGAACUCAUUGAUGAAGAAAAUUGGACAUGGAAGACGGAUCUUGUUCGACAAAAUUUUCUCGCUCUGGAUGCAGAAACUAUCUUGAAUAUACCAUUGCGUACCGGAGGUGGGGAUGAUUUCUUUGCUUGGGCUUUUGAAAACUUGGGUGUGUACACUGUCAAGUCGGCGUACCGUGCUCUCAUGAAUCAGAAAGAGCGUAAAGCUCUAGAGGAAGGGACGGCUACCGGUGCCCCAAAAUCUGAACAACAGAUGUGGACAUCUCUGUGGAAGCUCAAAGUUGUGCCUAAGGUCAGAGUUUUU